AUGAAAUGGUCCGAGGUUCGAUUUCGAGUAACCUCAUUUUGGUGACACUUUUUCUUUUUUUCCUAUUUUUCUUCUUCUAGCGAACUCUUCUUCCUCCUCACCUUUCAUACGAAUGUCUCUUCUAGCUCAUAUUCUGCAACUAAUUCUCUAUCCUUCAACACUGUGAAGAGAUCAUCUUCUGCAAGUAACUCUCCAUCCUUUAACAGAAUUCCCUGUUCUUAUACGUAUAUAACAGGGUUUGAAGUGAGAAGAGAUAAUCAGAGAAAUUGGAAAAAUUAGGGUUACUGUGUUGAAAUUUAAGAAAUUAGAAAUCGAGAUAAAUAAACAGGGAAUUAAUAAAGUUAGAUAAAGUGAUGAAUUUUUGUUUCUAUUGGUUUGAAGGGGAUUUGUGUUAUCUCAAUUCUACAAAUUAGGGUUUUGGAAAUUAAGUGAGAAUUGAAUUAGGGUUCUUCUGUGAAUCAAGGAUACUGAUGAAGAUUACUGGGUAUUAGUUGAAUUGACCUGUUGGGUGUUGAUAGUCUUGAGAUGAUUUGUUGAGCCGAGUCAAAUAAAGAAGAAGUUGAAUUCAAUUUGAUCGAGAGAAAAGAGAAAACUAUUUUGAGUUUUUUCAAGGGGAUCCAACAAAGCCUCGAGAAAAACAGAUAGCCUGGAAGUUUGAGAAUUGUUAAUGCUUCAGUAAAGUGCAACCAGAUUUGGAGUUUUGAACUGUCAAACAUCUGAUGGAUAAAAUUUUCAAGAAUUACAUUGCCCAUCAAUCAAUACUCGGGAUUCUAACUGGAAGCGAGGAAGGUAUACUUGGAAUAUAAUUUCUGGGACUGGGAGGUCUGUAAGGGAAUGCAACUGAAAAGAUUUUCUUGGUGAGACCAACUUGCUGCUCAUGAUUUUAAUGAGAAAACGUUCUAGGCCAAGGGGUUUAGGAAGGUAUAUAAAGGAGUCUGUGGAGAUAAUUGAUGAUUAUUGUACAUGUAUUCUGUUUGAUCGUUGUUUUUUUAGGAUGUAUGUGUAUAGUUAAGAUGUUCUUCAAUGAAUGAACGGCAGACAUUGAUCGUUGACUGA
Papaver somniferum (opium poppy) is the source of this 1056-nucleotide long non-coding RNA. RefSeq lists it as uncharacterized. The transcript is spliced from 3 exons. The record is from RefSeq and is a predicted model, not a curated record. NCBI's taxonomy places the organism in Eukaryota, Viridiplantae, Streptophyta, Magnoliopsida, Ranunculales, Papaveraceae.